GAAACUUGUCGGGACGUCUCCAGUGGUGAAGCAGGCCGCUGCAGGGCAUGCCGAUAAUUAGGAAUAUGGUCUGCAUCCAUGAGGGAUCAGGACAGCACUGUGCAUGGCACACACCUCUCUCCUCAAUUUUCCUUAGGGCAGGACUUGGCACAGGACAGGGAGUUUGGAAGCGCACACUGUUCUCAGAACACAGAUCCAGCUGGAGAACUGGGUCUCCAAAGCAGAUGCUGGCUGAUAAGCCUCAUGCCUUUGUGCGAGGUCAUCCCAGAGCAAGGGAAUGCUGUCCUGGUCAGUCACAGCAUCACCCUUGCAGGGGUGCCACAGCCACAUUUAUAGCGAGCUUCAAUGACCGUCUGUGCCGGAGGAGGUCACCCCUAGAAAUGCCUAGCCACGUCUGUGCUUCAUUUGCAGGAGCUGUAAACCUGCCACCUGGCUGGUGGCUUUAUUGCUUUGGAUGAUGCUGGUGUCAAAGAAAUUUGGUGCGGGAGCCAAUUGGAACACAGUCAGUUUUAUAUUUAAUCUUUGCUAUAAAGGCAAAUAAAGGUUCUGUAUUUUGA
Long non-coding RNA from Tympanuchus pallidicinctus (lesser prairie-chicken), 557 nucleotides. RefSeq lists it as uncharacterized. Lineage: Eukaryota; Metazoa; Chordata; Aves; Galliformes; Phasianidae. The transcript has 3 exons. The record is from RefSeq and is a predicted model, not a curated record.